AUGCUCCUCUCCUGCUGCCCCCACCAGCCCUUUCUCCACCGUUACCAUCCCUCCCCCAACCCUGCCCCAUGUCUCAGGGCCCUGCGUGCACAGGGCAGGGGAGAGGUGAGGCGAACCCCCCCCCCCCGGGUUGUGGUUUUGUGGCAUUUGGGGUGUUCACAGGCACCAGCAUGGAGGCAGAGGAUUUCUGCAGAGCCAAGCAGAACCCCGGGGCUGAGGCUGGAGCCGUCAGCCCCACGCAGCCAUGCUGGGACCCCAAGGUUCAUGUGCCGGGGUCCCUGCUCCUGGCUCCCCGCAGCGUGGCUGCCUGCUCUGCUCUGCAUCCCACCGCUGCCCUGGCCAAGCGAGGGCAGGCAGGGACGGGAGGUGCUGACCCCUCGGCUGAGAUUAGCUUUCUCAGUGCUGGAGGCACCAGCCGUGGCUUUGCAGCCUGGGGCAGCCACUGUGCCUGGCGCCCACGGGUGUCUGCAGUCAGCACGUCCCUGGCGUGUCAAAGCUUUGCUGCAGAGGCUCCAAGGGAUUUGGUACCAGGAGCAGGGGACUGUCCUCAGGACACUUUGGGCCCGUGGCCCUGCUACUACACCCUUGGUGCCAGCACAACACCCCUGCAGCUGGAGAGCUUUGCAGGUCACGGUGCCCAGGCAGCAUCAGCACCGUGACCCAAGCUGGUUCCUGAAGUGCAAGGACAGGGAGCCCUGGGAUGGUGUCCCCAGGCAGUGCAGGUCCUGUCUCACUCCAGCCAUCAGCCGUGUCCAGGAGAACAGCCAAGGGGAAGAAUGGGACAGGGACGGAGCCUGUCCCCUGCCUGCCUGCAGGCGAUGGUGGCAGAGCAGCGGGGCAGGAGGGAGGUGCAGGGUCCAGGCUGCAAACAGCCUGGAGAUGCUCCUGUGCCAGCACGUGCCCAGGGACUCGGGGAGCUGGGGGGCAUUGCAGCCCCCUCUUGCAGUUACCUGCCCAAAUGCAUGGGUAAGGAGUAAUAAGAAUUGUCUUGUGCUUCAUGCCAGGCCAAGCUGA
RNAcentral lists this long non-coding RNA (1014 nucleotides) under Calidris pygmaea (Spoon-billed sandpiper). Its description in RNAcentral is "lncRNA (ENSCPGG00000012757.1)". Lineage: Eukaryota; Metazoa; Chordata; Aves; Charadriiformes; Scolopacidae. The record is from RNAcentral.